RNAcentral lists this ribosomal RNA (456 nucleotides) under uncultured Leptolinea sp. Its description in RNAcentral is "bacterial SSU rRNA". It matches the Rfam family "Bacterial small subunit ribosomal RNA", at positions 916 to 1381 of the family's 1533-position model. The record is from RNAcentral. Lineage: Bacteria; Bacillati; Chloroflexota; Anaerolineae; Anaerolineales; Anaerolineaceae.
GACGGGCCCCGCACAAGCAGCGGAGCGUGUGGUUUGAUUCGAUGUUACACGAAGAACCUUACCAGGGUUUGACAUGCAAGUGGUAGGAAGCCGAAAGGUGACCGACCCUUCGGGGAGCUUGCACAGGUGCUGCAUGGCUGUCGUCAGCUCGUGUCGUGAGAUGUUCGGUUAAGUCCGCUAACGAGCGCAACCCUCGCUGUGUGUUAUAUGUGUCACACGGGACUGCCGGUCUUAAGCCGGAGGAAGGUGGGGAUGAUGUCAAGUCAGCAUGGCCUUUAUAUCCUGGGCUACACACACGCUACAAUGGCCAACACAAUAGGUUGCUAAGCCGCGAGGUGGCGCCAAUCCAUAAAGUUGGUCUCAGUUCAGAUUGUAGGCUGCAACCCGCCUGCAUGAAGAUGGAGUUGCUAGUAACCGCAGGUCAGCUAUACUGCGGUGAAUACGUUCCCGGGGCUU